AUAGGUUUGGUCCCAGCCUUCCUGUUAACUUUCAAUAGACUUAUACAUGCAAGCAUCCACGCCCCGGUGAGUAACGCCCUUCGAAUCACACAGGACUAAAAGGAGCAGGUAUCAAGCACACACUCUUGUAGCUCACAACGCCUUGCUUAACCACACCCCCACGGGAGACAGCAGUAACAAAAAUUAAGCCAUAAACGAAAGUUUGACUAAGCCAUAUUGACCAGGGUUGGUAAAUCUCGUGCCAGCCACCGCGGUCAUACGAUUGACCCAAGCUAACAGGAGUACGGCGUAAAGCGUGUUAAAGCAUCAUACUAAAUAGAGUUAAAUUUUAAUUAAACUGUAAAAAGCCAUAAUUAUAACAAAAAUAAAUGACGAAAGUAACCCUACAAUAGCUGAUACACUAUAGCUAAGACCCAAACUGGGAUUAGAUACCCCACUAUGCUUAGCCCUAAACACAAAUAAUUAU
Molecule: ribosomal RNA, 466 nt
Filed under: Ovis aries (sheep)
Lineage: Eukaryota; Metazoa; Chordata; Mammalia; Artiodactyla; Bovidae
Description: partial 12S ribosomal RNA
Source: RNAcentral